CAGUAGCCGCGGGAAUACGAAGGGUGCAAGCGUUAAUCGGAAUUACUGGGCGUAAAGCGCGCGUAGGUGGUUUGGUAAGAUGGAUGUGAAAUCCCCGGGCUCAACCUGGGAACUGCAUCCAUAACUGCCUGACUAGAGUACGGUAGAGGGUGGUGGAAUUUCCUGUGUAGCGGUGAAAUGCGUAGAUAUAGGAAGGAACACCAGUGGCGAAGGCGACCACCUGGACUGAUACUGACACUGAGGUGCGAAAGCGUGGGGAGCAAACAGGAUUAGAUACCCCAGUAGUCCCUGUCUCUUAUAU
Molecule: ribosomal RNA, 301 nt
Filed under: uncultured bacterium
Lineage: Bacteria
Description: partial 16S ribosomal RNA
Rfam family: Bacterial small subunit ribosomal RNA
Source: RNAcentral